AAAUAUCUUGAUGCGGGACUCUUCCGAGGCCUCGCAAUCAGGAUGCGUUUACUUUAAAGCAGUAAACUGAACGCAAUUGGAGGGCAAGUCUGGUGCCAGCAGCCGCGGUAAUUCCAGCUCCAAUAGCGUAUAUUUAAGUUGCUGCGGUUAAAAAGCUCGUAGUUGGACUUUAUACUCAGGCAGCCAGUCCUCUUUCGAUGUAUUCUUUCCUCUAUAGCGGACAUGCCCGGUCCUGGCUCAUGUGUCUCAUCAACUCUUAUUAGUGCAAACGAACGGAGGAGUCACAAUUGCUUCGGGCUUGGUGUUUGAUCCCGUUUGGUUUGAUAUUUUUUCGUUAGAGGUUCUUACUGCGUCUGUGACUGAGUGUAUAUGAGACCGUCGAUUCAUACUUUUUCGAAAUAGCCUAUAAUUGUUCAUGGUGCAAUUAAGUUUGUGUCCGUAGCAGUACAAGGUACAUUCGUUCACAUAAAAGUUGUCGACUCUAUCACUUUGAAAAAAUUAGAGUGCUCAAAGCAGGCCUCAUUGCAUAAUUGCCUGAAUGGUAGUGCAUGGAAUGAUGGAAGAUGAUCUCUACCUCGUUAAGCUUAAAGGCAUCAAUAACAUUGUGUUUUUAUCUUUGCACCAGGUGGACAGGUACGGAUAAAGAUUCGAGGUUUGAGAUAAUGAUUAAAGGGAACUGCCGGGGGCGUUUGUAUUACGGCGCUAGAGGUGAAAUUCUUGGACCGUCGUAAGACAAACUACUGCGAAAGCAUUCGCCAAGAAUGUUUUCAUUAAUCAAGAACGAAAGUUAGAGUUUAGAAGGAGAUCAGAUACCUCCCUAUUUCUAACCGUAAACUAUGCUAACCGGUUGUCCGUCGGAAGUCAUUUCCGAGACUGGGCGAGCGACCCCAGGGAAACCAGAGUUUCUGAGUUCCGGGGGAAGUAUGGU
RNAcentral lists this ribosomal RNA (928 nucleotides) under Starkus sirene. RNAcentral's name for it is "Typhlotanaidae gen. 2 sp. 1 FP-2022c partial small subunit ribosomal RNA". It matches the Rfam family "Eukaryotic small subunit ribosomal RNA", at positions 473 to 1129 of the family's 1831-position model. Lineage: Eukaryota; Metazoa; Arthropoda; Malacostraca; Tanaidacea; Typhlotanaidae. The record is from RNAcentral.